GUCAUCGCCCCUCUCGCGGGCGGUGCCGCCCGUCCCUUCAGGGCAGAGUUGCCCCAUAGGUGAUUUCACCUCACAAACGGGCACCAGGCAGAGCUGCCCGCAGGGAACCCAUUUCUUCAAUAUCAUUGUUUCUUUUAACAGUCACGUACACAUCAGGUGUUUCUUCCUGAGCUGUAGAUGCCCUCAAAUGGAAUAUAUUUAUAUAUAUAUACAUGAUUUGAAGGAGUUCUUCACUGUGAUGCCUCCCAUCUCUGACCCUACAGCGAAAAUCCCUUUUGAGCUCCGAGAUACCAUACUACCCUAUGAGAAGGAUGAAAAAAGCUUAUACAUGUCGUAGGAAGGACACCAUUUAUUUGUUAUCUCAGGAUUUUCUUGUUUUAUGGAGCCGCUUGUAUUUUAUAACUCAUUUACACACCAUGGUUGGAAAUGCUCAUCUAACGGCUAUGCCUUGCAGCGUGUUUGCUAAAGGCACUCAGUAAAUGCAGAAGACUGAAGAAGUGUUGUCUCCUUUGGCUUUAAUUACAAUAAAUACAGAAAUAAAAAAGUGAAUAAGUUAAGAAGUCUGAUCCUGUAAAUAGGUUGUAUGAGGAAAAGCAGGGCUAUAUUCUGAAAGAAAGAACAACCUUUCCCAGCAUAUAUAGUAAAAUAAAACAUCCAUUCUUCCAUUCAUCUUUUCUUAGCAAUAAUGUACCGUUACUCAUGGCUUGCAUUUACCUAUCAAAAGCGUAAAUGGAUUAAGCCCACAAAUACUUCCCAGAACUCCAAACUAAAUAGAAGGCUCAGGAAACAUCGGGAGGCAGCCCCAACUUCCACCAACACCGAUCAGUUCAGGAAUUUUCUGUCAAACAGCGUACAACUCGCUCAGCAAUAAAUCCACUUGCCCUUAUUUCCAAUAUCCUACCCUGUUUUACUUCCCAGGAAAACAACGACAACAACAACGAUACAUCCCCAACCCACAGAGCAAGGACAUGCACAAUGCUGGGUUUUAUCCCUCUGUUAAAACAAAUAAAACUACAAAUCAGAACGAAAGAAAAUGCUUGCAGAGUUCUCUGUCAGUUCUGUAGCCAUUUACAGACCACCACCACCAAGGGCACCUCGUUGAGAAGGCUGAAACAUCCCCGCCUUGUAAUUGUACCACAGUUGUGAAAAUAAAAUUCAUUUCCAAACAUUUCCCUAAGAUGCUGAAAAGCCUGGACCGCCAAAGCAAAAUGCACCAAGACCCCAGCAUUUCAUCUAGCUGUCUAAAAUAUUAAACUUUUCAUAUAUGCCGUAUUUGAAUGUGUCCUUCUCCAAGUGCACUUCAGAGCGCUCGCCCCACAUCAGCAACGGUAGUUCCGGCAUACUGCAAUUUCCCGAUCCCCACGGGAAUGCCUGCAAGGAUUCCAUCUGAAGGUUUAGGCGACAUCCAAAGUUAGUGGGCGCUUCAGCAGCUGAAAUAGAAAUGCUGUUCAGCUCCCCGGCCAUCUUUUCCAGACCGUGCCUCUAAUAAGAACAGUACACUUGCAUGCGUUCCUGAACUACAAUGGGACAGGCCAGUGAUUAAAGUAGUGAAGCAUAGCGCAGUAUCUCUCUGGUAACAUACAUUGUGUAUGGAAUUGAGCGUAAAGGGAAAUGAGAUGAACUUUGUACAGCUCACCUUAAUUAAGUCGUGUCCUGAUGGAAAUUAAUUUGAAUGUUAAUAGCAUGUAUAAAUGUUGUCUGAGCUUUCUCUCAGUGCCCACUUCAAGCCACUUGCACCGUCCCGGGUCUGUCAGUUCUGGGUGUUCACAUACAUUCUCCUAUUCAUCCAGCUGGCCGUCACUUUGUAUCUUGCAAGUGAUUAACAGCAAAUUCUAUGGACAAUAAGAGUUACAUCUUAGCACCUUUCCAAACAUCUGCCAGCCAGCACACCACGCUUCAGCCCCACCACAGGCUUCUGAAUUUCACGCUAUUUCAGGGGGUUCCACUGUGUUUUAUUAAAUUAAGACCGUGGAGCACCAUGUUUUUGCUGGCCCCUAGUUUUACUUUGGUUUGUAGUCCUCCUGAGCAGUGAAGGUCUGCAUGUUUGUUCCAACAAGACUUAUUUUUCUUAAUAAAUAAAUAAAU
Molecule: long non-coding RNA, 2085 nt
Filed under: Gallus gallus (chicken)
Lineage: Eukaryota; Metazoa; Chordata; Aves; Galliformes; Phasianidae
Description: lncRNA (ENSGALG00010023629.1)
Source: RNAcentral